UAGGGAAUCUUCCACAAUGGACGCAAGUCUGAUGGAGCAACGCCGCGUGAGUGAAGAAGGUUUUCGGACCGUAAAGCUCUGUUGUUGGUGAAGAAGGAUAGAGGUAGUAACUGGCCUUUAUUUGACGGUAAUCAACCAGAAAGUCACGGCUAACUACGUGCCAGCAGCCGCGGUAAUACGUAGGUGGCGAGCGUUGUCCGGAUUUAUUGGGCGUAAAGCGAGCGCAGGCGGAAGAAUAAGUCUGAUGUGAAAGCCCUCGGCUUAACCGAGG
RNAcentral lists this ribosomal RNA (271 nucleotides) under uncultured bacterium. RNAcentral describes it as "partial 16S ribosomal RNA". It matches the Rfam family "Bacterial small subunit ribosomal RNA", at positions 355 to 618 of the family's 1533-position model. The record is from RNAcentral.